Molecule: ribosomal RNA, 463 nt
Filed under: uncultured bacterium
Lineage: Bacteria
Description: bacterial SSU rRNA
Rfam family: Bacterial small subunit ribosomal RNA
Source: RNAcentral
CCUACGGGAGGGCAGCAGUGGGGAAUAUUGCACAAUGGGCGCAAGCCUGAUGCAGCCAUGCCGCGUGUAUGAAGAAGGCCUUCGGGUUGUAAAGUACUUUCAGCAGUGAGGAAGGUGGGUAUGUUAAUAGCAUAUUCAUUUGACGUUAGCUGCAGAAGAAGCACCGGCUAACUCCGUGCCAGCAGCCGCGGUAAUACGGAGGGUGCGAGCGUUAAUCGGAAUUACUGGGCGUAAAGCGCAUGCAGGUGGUUUGUUAAGUCAGAUGUGAAAGCCCGGGGCUCAACCUCGGAAUUGCAUUUGAAACUGGCAAACUAGAGUACUGUAGAGGGGGUAGAAUUUCAGGUGUAGCGGUGAAAUGCGUAGAGAUCUGAAGGAAUACCGGUGGCGAAGGCGGCCCCCUGGACAGAUACUGACACUCAGAUGCGAAAGCGUGGGGAGCAAACAGGAUUAGAUACCCUGGUAG